AACGAACGCUGGCGGCAUGCCUAACACAUGCAAGUCGAACGAAGGCUUCGGCCUUAGUGGCGCACGGGUGCGUAACGCGUGGGAAUCUGCCCCUCGGUUCGGAAUAACAGUGAGAAAUGACUGCUACUACCGGAUGAUGACUUCGGUCCAAAGAUUUAUCGCCGAGGGAUGAGCCCGCGUAAGAUUAGGUAGUUGGUGGGGUAAAGGCCUACCAAGCCGACGAUCUUUAGCUGGUCUGAGAGGAUGAUCAGUCACACUGGGACUGAGACACGGCCCAGACUCCUACGGGAGGCAGCAGUGGGGAAUAUUGGACAAUGGGCGAAAGCCUGAUCCAGCAAUGCCGCGUGAGUGAUGAAGGCCUUAGGGUUGUAAAGCUCUUUUACCAGGGAUGAUAAUGACAGUACCUGGAGAAUAAGCUCCGGCUAACUCCGUGCCAGCCGCCGCAGUAA
RNAcentral lists this ribosomal RNA (449 nucleotides) under uncultured bacterium. RNAcentral's name for it is "partial 16S ribosomal RNA". It matches the Rfam family "Bacterial small subunit ribosomal RNA", at positions 29 to 523 of the family's 1533-position model. The record is from RNAcentral.